UACGUAGGGUGCGAGCGUUAAUCGGAAUUAUUGGGCGUAAAGAGCUUGUAGGCGGUCUGUCGCGUCUGCUGUGAAAAUCCGGGGCUCAACCCCGGACUUGCAGUGGGUACGGGCAGACUAGAGUGUGGUAGGGGAGACUGGAAUUCCUGGUGUAGCGGUGAAAUGCGCAGAUAUCAGGAGGAACACCGAUGGCGAAGGCAGGUCUCUGGGCCACUACUGACGCUGAGAAGCGAAAGCAUGGGGAGCGAACAGG
This 253-nucleotide ribosomal RNA is filed under the name uncultured bacterium. RNAcentral's name for it is "partial 16S ribosomal RNA". It matches the Rfam family "Bacterial small subunit ribosomal RNA", at positions 524 to 776 of the family's 1533-position model. The record is from RNAcentral.